AAGAACAGAAAAUUAAGCAGCAUAGAUGACUCAGGCGGAGAGGAAGUUAUCUCUGAUUAGGAAUGGACCACUUCUCGCUCACUCUCGCUCGCUCGCUCUCUCUUGCUCUCGCUCUCUCCCACCUGACAGUAAACCUUUCCUCUAACUCCGGUGUUUGGUGUGUUUUGUGUGUUUCGUGAUGGCCUUGCGUGGGUGCCGUGACUCGGAUCCAGGCUCUCCCCUCGGGGAUCUGAGCUGCUCUGGGGUCCUGGAUUUCCACCAGUCACAAAACAUACCCCUGGACCUCCUUCCACACCACCGAACGCUCUGUGGUCUCCAUCCACACACUGACCUCUCAAAUUCCUGAGGUAAGACGGGGAACAAGGAAUUCUCUCAUGGCAACCUCUACCAAGGUUGUGGUUCAGCUCUGCUGUGUCUCAAAGUCCUGGUACCAAGCACCACAACCUCCCACAGGCCUUCUGCCUUUCAUGGCUCCAAACCUUUCCACAGGCUCUAGGCCUCGGGCGCCAGUGGAUGCGUGGGUGACAACCCCCACUCUCUGUUCCCGUACCCUCCCUGUUGGACGGCUGUGAUCUUGGGGAUGCCUGAUAUCCACCAGUCUGACUCAAUGGGUUGCCAUGGGAACUCCUCCCUCCUGUGUUCCACCCAACCCCCCCUCUUCGUCGUCUCCUACCUCGACAACCAGUCCACGUUUGACCCUGACACUAUUCAAGAUCAGGAAAGUGGAAGAAAAUCUCCUGUGUAUGAAACCAAAGAUCCCGUGGCCUCACUUGGCCCGCCCUGCUGCUUCCCAGAUGUGAGGCAUGGCCAUUCUCCUCUGCCGUGCUGGACACCGCUGGUUCUGUGCCCACAGGAGUUGCAGUCUCUGAGUGGGGGAAGUGGGGGAGAAGAGCAAACCCUAGAGCUGUGGUGGGGCACACUGCAGGAUCUGAAGACAGAAACUGAGCAAGCAGGCUCAGGCUUCAUCCAGACCCCAGCAACACAACAGACUGAAGCUGGUUGCUGUUAGUUCCCAACCUCAUCAGCAGGUAAGCAAGUUUCAGGCAAUUUCCAAAAGAGAAGAGUGGGGAAGAGAUCUUCCAUCCUCCAGUUCACUUCCCAAAUGGCCACAAAGGCCAGGGCUGGUCCAGGCCAAACACAGGGGCCCAAAAUUCUACCUGGGUCUCCUACAUGGGAGCAGGAGCCCAAGUACCUGGAGAUGGAUCAGAGGCAGACUAGCCAGGAUUGGAACAUACACUUUGAUCUGGGACACCAGCAUCCCAGGCAUUGGCUUACUCCACUGGGCCACAAUGCUGGCCCCCGUGUAUUUUAUUUUUUUAUUUUUUGCCAGGAGAGUUAUAAAGUGAGAGAGAGAGACAGAGAGAGAGAGUUAUAGACAGUGAGAGAGAGAGAGAGAGAGAGAGAGACAGAGAGAAAGGCCUUUCUUCCAUUGGUUCACCCCCCAAAUGGCCGCUAUGGCUGGCGCUGUGCCAAUCCGAAGCCAGGAACCAGGUGCCUCCUCCUGGUCUCCCAAUGCAGGUGCAGGAGUCCAAGCACCUGGGCCAUCUUCCACUGCCCUCCUGGGCCACAGCAGAGCUGGAGUGGAAGAGGAGCAACCAGGACUAGAACCCGGCACCCAUGUGAGAUGCCAGCACCGCAGGUGGAGGAUUAACCAAAUGAGCCACGGCGCAGGCCCCAAUUACUACACUUUUUACCUUUCCUUUUAGUUGUGCUCAGCAGACAAGUGCCUCCCCUACCUCACACCAGACCCCGCCCUCCUGGGUCCCAUUGGGAAGCAGUUUCCAGGGAAGAGGAAAGAGACUCU
Molecule: non-coding RNA, 1804 nt
Organism: Oryctolagus cuniculus (rabbit)
Lineage: Eukaryota; Metazoa; Chordata; Mammalia; Lagomorpha; Leporidae
Source: RefSeq, a predicted model, not a curated record